GACUUCGGUUGGCUGAAUCUCGUCUUGCGAAAGCUCUUUGGUGUAUAUUGCAAUGUUUAAACGUAAUUGUAGGCCUAUUUGUCGUAUUUGUUGAGAGUUAUUUAAUAUUUUGAGGCAAGUGCUAGUAUGCAAAGAGAGAGGAAUUGACCGUGGUGUGUGAUGGUACUCAAUGAAGAAAAAAUAUAUAAACCAAAGAGAACUUUUGAAUUUCAAAACGUUGUUCCAAGUGAUUUUAUUUUACCAUUGAGUUAUACGUUAAAUACGCCCGGAGACGCAACAUCGUUGAAUGAAGACAAUAAGAAACACCUGAAGGAAAACUGAGCAGAUGAUAUAUAAGACUUGAUUUUAAGAUACAUUUUGAAAUAAUUAAUUGAUUCGACGCACAAAUAAAUCUUCAGCAAACACCUGCAUAACAGACGUCCGGCACAGGAAGCACCAUGGACAGCGCAGAUGAGCUGACGCCCGUGCUGGACGCCGCGCGGUCGAAGAAGAUGACCAAGAAGUACCUGGGCGUGGAGGCGGCGGCCGAGGAAUGGUGCGAGAGCCAGGAGGAGCUCGGGCUCGUCACCGCGACGACGCCCGUCAGGUUCUGGAUCCUGCUGGUGUUUUCGCUCAUGUCGUGGCUGCACGUGAGUGUUGGCUGGUGUUGGUUUCUUUUCGUCUUCUUUUUUUCUUUCUUUUUCAGUAUUUUUGUUUGUUUGUUUGGGGAUUCUG
Penaeus indicus is the source of this 714-nucleotide long non-coding RNA. RefSeq lists it as uncharacterized. The transcript is spliced from 3 exons. Lineage: Eukaryota; Metazoa; Arthropoda; Malacostraca; Decapoda; Penaeidae. The record is from RefSeq and is a predicted model, not a curated record.